UUGGAGGGCAAGUCUGGUGCCAGCAGCCGCGGUAAUUCCAGCUCCAAUAGCGUAUAUUAAAGUUGUUGCAGUUAAAAAGCUCGUAGUUGAAUUUCGGGGUUUAUACGUUGGUCGGGCUUUUGGGUCUGCACUGGCGUAAUGAAUUCCUACCUUCUGAAUAACCAGCAUGUCAUUAAUUUGAUGCGCCGGGGAAGCAGGACUGUUACCUUGAAAAAAUUAGAGUGCUUAAAGCAGGCUAUUGCCUGAAUACAUUAGCAUGGUAUAAUGAAAUAGGACGGCAUGGUUCUAUUUUGUUGGUUUCUAGGAUCACCGUAAUGAUUAAUAGGGAUAGUUGGGGGCAUUAGUAUUCAAUUGUCAGAGGUGAAAUUCUUGGAUUUAUUGAAGACUAACUUCUGCGAAAGCAUUUGCCAAGGAUGUUUUCAUUAAUCAAGAACGAAAGUUAGGGGAUCGAAGACGAUCAGAUACCGUCGUAGUCUUAACCAUAAACUAUGCCGACUAGGGAUCGGACGAUGUUAAUUUUUUAAUGACUCGUUCGGCGCCUUACGGGAAAC
Molecule: ribosomal RNA, 551 nt
Filed under: uncultured Acaulospora
Lineage: Eukaryota; Fungi; Glomeromycota; Glomeromycetes; Diversisporales; Acaulosporaceae
Description: SSU rRNA
Rfam family: Eukaryotic small subunit ribosomal RNA
Source: RNAcentral